Molecule: long non-coding RNA, 97 nt
Organism: Telopea speciosissima
Lineage: Eukaryota; Viridiplantae; Streptophyta; Magnoliopsida; Proteales; Proteaceae
Exons: 3
Source: RefSeq, a predicted model, not a curated record
GAUCCUUCCUGACAAAAUCAAAAGCAUUGAAAUUCAUGGAGAUGGUGGUGUUGGAUCCAUCAAACAGAUCAACCUGGCUGAUGAUGGUCCAUUUCCC